CACAUGCAAGUCGAGCGGUAGCACAGGGAGCUUGCUCCUGGGUGACGAGCGGCGGACGGGUGAGUAAUGUCUGGGAAACUGCCCGAUGGAGGGGGAUAACUACUGGAAACGGUAGCUAAUACCGCAUAACGUCUUCGGACCAAAGUGGGGGACCUUCGGGCCUCACACCAUCGGAUGUGCCCAGAUGGGAUUAGCUAGUAGGUGAGGUAAUGGCUCACCUAGGCGACGAUCCCUAGCUGGUCUGAGAGGAUGACCAGCCACACUGGAACUGAGACACGGUCCAGACUCCUACGGGAGGCAGCAGUGGGGAAUAUUGCACAAUGGGCGCAAGCCUGAUGCAGCCAUGCCGCGUGUGUGAAGAAGGCCUUCGGGUUGUAAAGCACUUUCAGCGAGGAGGAAGGGUUCAGUGUUAAUAGCACUGAACAUUGACGUUACUCGCAGAAGAAGCACCGGCUAACUCCGUGCCAGCAGCCGCGGUAAUACGGAGGGUGCAAGCGUUAAUCGGAAUUACUGGGCGUAAAGCGCACGCAGGCGGUUUGUUAAGUCAGAUGUGAAAUCCCCGAGCUUAACUUGGGAACUGCAUUUGAAACUGGCAAGCUAGAGUCUUGUAGAGGGGGGUAGAAUUCCAGGUGUAGCGGUGAAAUGCGUAGAGAUCUGGAGGAAUACCGGUGGCGAAGGCGGCCCCCUGGACAAAGACUGACGCUCAGGUGCGAAAGCGUGGGGAGCAAACAGGAUUAGAUACCC
This 744-nucleotide ribosomal RNA is filed under the name Serratia sp. 41ANGIII. RNAcentral describes it as "bacterial SSU rRNA". It matches the Rfam family "Bacterial small subunit ribosomal RNA", at positions 52 to 787 of the family's 1533-position model. Lineage: Bacteria; Pseudomonadati; Pseudomonadota; Gammaproteobacteria; Enterobacterales; Yersiniaceae. The record is from RNAcentral.